This 2184-nucleotide long non-coding RNA is filed under the name Salmo salar (Atlantic salmon). RNAcentral describes it as "lncRNA (ENSSSAG00000086706.1)". Lineage: Eukaryota; Metazoa; Chordata; Actinopteri; Salmoniformes; Salmonidae. The record is from RNAcentral.
UAUGCUGUAGCGUUAAGAUUUUCCUUCACUGUAACUAAGUGGUCUAGCCCAAACCAUUAAAAACAGCCCUAGACCAUUAUUCCUCCUCCAGCCAACUUUACAGUUGGCACUAUACAUUGGGGCAGGUAGUGUUCUCCCGGCAUCCGCUAAACCCAAAUUAGUCCGUUGGACUGUCAGAUGAUGAAGUGUGAUUCAUCACUCCAGAGAACGCAUUUCCACUGCACCAGAGUCCAAUGGUGGCGAGCUUUACACUACUUCAGCCAACGCUUGGCAUUGCGCAUGGUGAUCUUAGGCUUGUGUGCGGCUGCUUGGCCAUGGAAACCCAUUUUAUGAAGCUCCCGACGAACAGUUCUUGUGUUGACAUUGCUUCCAGAGGCAGUUUGGAUUUCGGUAGCGACUGUUCCAGUAGAAGACACCAUUUUUACACGUUAAACGCUUCAGCACUCGGCGGUCCCGUUCUGUGAGCUUGUGUGGCCUACCACCUCCUGGCAGAGCUGUUGCUGCUCCAAGACAUUUCCACUUUACAAUAACAGCACUUACUGUUGAUUGGGGCAGCUCUAUCCUAUGACGGUGCCACAUUGAAAGUCACUGAGCUCUUCAGUAAGGCCAUUCUACUGCUAAUGUUUGCUGUGGAGAUUGCAUGUCUGUCUGCUCGAUUUUAUACAACUGCCAGCAAUGGGCGUGGCUGAAACAGCCAAAUCCGCUAAUUUGAAAAUACACAAAUACUUUUGUGUAUAUAUAGUGUUUGUUAAAAGUUGUCUUCUAGCCUACUCUUCCUCAUCAGGAGGGACCUACUGUAACACUCCUCAUGGACCCUAUUAAUCAGGUGUGUUCAAAAGUGGCUCCCCAGGAGGGGUUGGUAACUCCUGAUGUAGGUUCAAUGCAGAAGGAACAGAGUGGAGUCAUUAAGAAAAUAGAUUCAAUGACCAAUAAAGAUGUAGAUUAUGAUCCAUUUUUAUCAAGUGAAGUCGUACGAUACCGGUCAAAGGUUUUAGUACAACUACUCAUUCAUGGUUUUUCUUUAUUUUGACUAUUUUCUACAUUGUAGAAUAAUAGUGAAGACAUCAAAACUAUGAAAUAACACAUAUGGAAUCAUGUAGUAACCAAAAAAAGUGUUACACAAAUCAAAAUAUAUUUGAGAUUCUUCAAAGUAGCCACCCUUUGCCUUGAUGACAGCUUUGCACUCUUCACAUUCUCUCAACCAGCUUCAUGAGGUAGUCACCUGGAAUGCAUUUCAAUGAACAGGUGUGCCUUGUUAAAAGUUCAUUUGUGGAAAUUCUUUCCUUCUUAAUGCAUUUGAGCCAAUCAGUUGUGUUGUGACAAGGUGGGGGGGGGGUGCAGUCGCAAAAAAACAUCAAGGGCUAUGAUGAAACUGGCUCUCAUGAGGACCACCACAAGAAUGGAAGACCCAGAGUUACUUCUGCUGCAGAGGAUAAGUUCAUUAAAGUUAUCAGAAAUUGUAGCCCAAAUAAAUGCUUCACAGAGUUCAAGUAACAGACAUCUCAACAUUAAGUGUUCAGAGGAUACUGUGUGAAUCGGGCCUUCAUGGUCGCAUUGCUGCCAAGAAAUCACUACUAAAGAACACCAAUGAGAAGAAGAGACUUGCCUGGGCCAAGAAACACGAGCAUUGGACAUGAGACCGGUGGAAAUUUGUCCUUUGGUCUGGAUUUUUGGUUCCAACCGCUGUGCUUUGUGAGACGCGGUGUGGGUGAAUGGAUGAUCUCCGCAUGUGUAUUUCCCACCGUAAAGCAUGGAGGAGGUGUUAUGAUGUGGGGGUGCUUUGCUGGUGACACUGUCUGUGAUUUAUUUAGAAUUUAAGAAACACUUAUCGCUGCAGAAUGCUGGUUACGCCAUCCCAUCUGGUUUGGGCUUAGUGGGACUAUCAUUUGUUUUUCAACAGGACAAUGACCGAACAGACCGGCAGGCUGCGUAAGGGCUAUUUUAUUAAAGGAGGAGAGUGAUGCAUCAGAUGACCUGGCCUCCAAAAUCCCCAGACCUCAACCAAAUUAAGAGGGUUUGGGAUGAGUCGGACCGCAGAGUGAAGGAAAAGCAGCCAACAAGUGCUCAGCAUAUGUGGGAAGUCCUUCAAGACUGUUGGAAAAGCAUUCCAGGUGAAGCUGGUUGAGAGAAUGCCAAGAGUGUGCAAAGCUGUCAUCAAGGCAAAGGGUGGCUACUUUGAAGAAU